RNAcentral lists this ribosomal RNA (439 nucleotides) under uncultured bacterium. RNAcentral's name for it is "bacterial SSU rRNA". It matches the Rfam family "Bacterial small subunit ribosomal RNA", at positions 355 to 796 of the family's 1533-position model. The record is from RNAcentral.
UAGGGAAUCUUGCACAAUGGGCGAAAGCCUGAUGCAGCGAUGCCGCGUGAGGGAUGAAGGCCCUCGGGUUGUAAACCUCUUUCAGUAGGGAAGAAGCCACGGGUCACCGUGGUGACGGUACCUGCAGAAGAAGCCCCGGCUAACUACGUGCCAGCAGCCGCGGUAAAACGUAGGGGGCUAGCGUUGCCCGGAUUUACUGGGCGUAAAGCGGGUGUAGGCGGUUCUUUAAGUCGGAUGUGAAAUCCAGCGGCCCAACCGCUGAAUUGCAUCCGAUACUGGGGAACUUGAGGACGGUAGAGGUCGGUGGAAUACCCGGUGUACCGGUGAAAUGGACAGAUAUCGGGAGGAACACCAGUGGCGAAGGCGGCCGACUGGGCCGAUCCUGACGCUGAGACCCGAAAGCCAGGGUAGCGAACCGGAUUAGAUACCCGGGUAGUCC